Long non-coding RNA from Carcharodon carcharias (great white shark), 1438 nucleotides. RefSeq lists it as uncharacterized. The transcript has 4 exons. NCBI's taxonomy places the organism in Eukaryota, Metazoa, Chordata, Chondrichthyes, Lamniformes, Lamnidae. The record is from RefSeq and is a predicted model, not a curated record.
CGAAUGACCAGUGAAAGAUCGCUUCAGAACACAAGGGUGUUGCACCUGAGCGCGCAAGCUCACGCCGCUUGUUGUCCGUGGAGCUCUCCUGUCAAAAGUUUUCAGGCAGGCCUGAAAAGUUGGGUGAAGCAGAUCGAUGUUGUUUACCGAAAAGAUCAAAAGGAACUCAAAACACACCAACCCAAACGAAAGGACAAUAAGAAUGAUAUCUACCAGAUAAUGUAGUUUGUUUACCAUUGCGUGUCCAAUGCCCGAGUGCUUCACGGAGAAAAAGGAAGGGGCGGGGAGCAGAAAGGAAAAAGAAAAGAACGACAAAGACCGUGAACUCAAUAAGGACUUACACUCAAAAAAGAAUGAUGGAACUUGAGAAGCAUCCGACUCCGGCUCCACAGAAAUCUGGCUCUGCAGCAGCUGCCCUGGCUGGACCCAUCCAAUAAAGCCUGAGGAUCGAGGCCUCUCCGCCGAUAGUCCAGUCAAUCCACCACCAACUAACACAUUUCAGGGUCAUCCGUGCCUUUAGGACCUCGGUGGCUGGAAGAGUGGCCUUUGGCUGGCUUGGAUUUUACUGACCGGAGGUCGUCUCCUAACUAAAAUCUAAAUGGCGAACCGAGGCCGAGAAAGCGGAACAUCUUCCCGGUGGGAAAAGGGUAGGAGAGAAAAUUCCGGAAGUUAUGAUCAAGGGAUGAAGGUGGAGUCGAGUGCAGCAGGUGUCUUACUUUUGUCUCUUGCACUACCAACAGUGGAUCACCCCAGUUGGCUUCCCUUUCUAUUGCUGAACAGUCACCUCCAGUGUAUCUCUGCGUUCUAUCCGAUGGGGAUUAAGAGGAUGGUUUUGGCAGGAGAUUUAGUUAUUUUUGCAGGUUUUAAGCAGGACAGGCUGGGGCUGCAGAUGAGCUGGGUGUCAACGGCAGCACGUAUCCACAGGGGAGUCAUGCUGAGCCUCUUUAAAGGCCACAACUAGAGUAUUGUGUCCAGCUGUUUAGGAAGGAUGCGAGGGUCUUUGAUGUCAUUUAAUAGACAGUGCACGGUCAUGUUAUGGACAGGGCGUGGUCACGUAAUGGGCAAAGGCGCAGUCAUGUAAUGGACAGGGGCACAGUCAUGUAAUGAACAGGGCACGGUCAUGUAAUGAACAGGGCACGGUCAUGUAAUGGGCAAAGGCACGGUCAUGUAAUGGGCAAAGGCACGGUCAUGUAAUGGGCAAAGGCGCAGUCAUGUAAUGGACAGGGGCACAGUCAUGUAUGGCACAGGGUGCAGUCAUGUAAUGGAUAGGGGCACAAUCAUGUAAUGGAUAGGGGUGCAAUCAUGUAAUGGGUAGUGGUGCGGUCAUGUAAUUGACAGAGCGCAGUCCUGUAACGGACAGGGGCGCGGUCCUGUAACGGACGGGGGCGCGGUCCUGUAACGGACGGGGGCGCUGUCGUGUAACGGACGGGGGCGCUGU